AAUCUACCUAAAAAUGGGGAAUAACUGUUGGAAACGACAGCUAAUACCGCAUAAUCCCUUCGGGGCAAAGGCUUCGGUCGUUUUUAGAUGAGCCCGCGUUAGAUUAGGCUGUUGGUGAGGUAACGGCUCACCAAACCUGCAAUCUAUAGCUGGUCUGAGAGGAUGAUCAGCCACACUGGGACUGAGACACGGCCCAGACUCCUACGGGAGGCAGCAGUGGGGAAUAUUGGACAAUGGGGGAAACCCUGAUCCAGCAAUGCCGCGUGAGUGAUGAAGGCCCUAGGGUUGUAAAACUCUUUCAGAAGUGAAGAUGAUGACGGUAACUUCAGAAGAAGCUCCGGCUAACUCCGUGCCAGCAGCCGCGGUAAUACGGAGGGAGCUAGCGU
This 386-nucleotide ribosomal RNA is filed under the name uncultured bacterium. RNAcentral describes it as "bacterial SSU rRNA". It matches the Rfam family "Bacterial small subunit ribosomal RNA", at positions 123 to 541 of the family's 1533-position model. The record is from RNAcentral.